AUCGCUUCUCCGCCUCUUGGCUAAGAUCAAGUGUAGUUAUCUUCUUAUUAGUUUAGUAGGUGAUAUACCCUCUAUCCGAGGACAAUAUAUUAAGUGGGUUUUUGGAGCAGGGAGUGGGAAUAGGAGCUUGCUUUGUUCACUCCACGGACAGACCUUGUCUUUGCAGUACUUCCAGGAAUGGUGCACCCCUU
Small nuclear RNA from Bubalus bubalis (water buffalo), 191 nucleotides. RefSeq annotates it as U2 spliceosomal RNA. NCBI's taxonomy places the organism in Eukaryota, Metazoa, Chordata, Mammalia, Artiodactyla, Bovidae. The transcript has a single exon. The record is from RefSeq and is a predicted model, not a curated record.